Molecule: ribosomal RNA, 385 nt
Filed under: uncultured bacterium
Lineage: Bacteria
Description: bacterial SSU rRNA
Rfam family: Bacterial small subunit ribosomal RNA
Source: RNAcentral
AUUGAACGCUGGCGGCGUGCCUAACACAUGCAAGUCGAGCGGUAACAGGUGUAGCAAUACAUGCUGACGAGCGGCGAACGGGUGAGUAAUGCUUCGGAAUCUGCCCAUGUAGUGGGGAAUAACCAGCCGAAAGGUUGGCUAAUACCGCAUACGACCUACGGGUGAAAGCAGGGGAUCGCAAGACCUUGCGCUAUUGGAUGAGCCGAAGUCGGAUUAGCUAGUUGGUAGGGUAACGGCCUACCAAGGCGACGAUCCGUAGCUGGUCUGAGAGGACGACCAGCCACACUGGGACUGAGACACGGCCCAGACUCCUACGGAGGCAGCAGUGGGAAUAUUGGACAAUGGGCGCAAGCCUGAUCCAGCCAUGCCGCGUGUGUGAAGAAGG